Molecule: ribosomal RNA, 505 nt
Filed under: uncultured bacterium
Lineage: Bacteria
Description: bacterial SSU rRNA
Rfam family: Bacterial small subunit ribosomal RNA
Source: RNAcentral
GGCUCAGGAUGAACGCUAGCGGCAGGCUUAACACAUGCAAGUCGAGGGGCAUCGGGAGUAGCAAUACUGCCGGCGACCGGCGCAAGGGUGCGUAACGCGUGAGCAACAUGCCCGUAUCAGGGGGGAUAAUCCAUGGAAACGUGGUCUAAUACCCCAUAGUAAUUAUGUAAGGCAUCUUAUAUAAUUUAAAGCUUUGGUGGAUACGGAUUGGCUCGCGUGACAUUAGCUGGAUGGUAAGGUAACGGCUUACCAUGGCUACGAUGUCUAGGGGUUCUGAGAGGAAGGUCCCCCCACACUGGAACUGAGACACGGUCCAGACUCCUACGGGAGGCAGCAGUGAGGAAUAUUGGACAAUGGAUGGAAAUCUGAUCCAGCCAUGCCGCGUGCAGGGAAAGACGGCCCUAUGGGUUGUAAACUGCUUUUGUAUGGGAGCAAUAAGGGCUACGUGUAGUCCGAUGAGAGUACCAUACGAAUAAGCACCGGCUAACUCCGUGCCAGCAGCGGC